AUGAAUUUGGGAGCAAGGGGACACAAUUCAGUCCAGAACACUUCCUUAGACUUGUUAGAUAAGCUCAGUCCAAAAGAAAUACAACGCAAUUUAAAUUUUUCUAGUAGCCACAUUUUUUUAAAAAGUAAAAAGAAACAAGUGAAAUUAAUUGUAACACUAUCUGACGCUAUGCUGUCCAACACAGUAGCCACUAGUCACACGUUAGAUAAUUCUCCAAGCUGAAGAGAGAGGUCAAAUAAGAGAGUGACAGUGGAUCCAAGAUACAGCUGGGGUGCCAGGGUGGGGGGUCGGCAAGGAGUCACAAUGACUCAUAGAAUGUCCAGGGAGUUUUGAGGAUCUGAGAGCACGGGGACCUGUGCUCACGUCUGAGGUGGGGCCAGGGUGAAUAGGGGAGGGUAGAAGUGGCAACUAGAUGCGUCUAGGACAGCGCCCCACGUCUGCCACAUCCCCCCAAGUCUCCAGAGUGGCACAGGGGAACAUCCAACAGUUCCCCAGUCCCUAAGAGGGGUGAGGACGUGGCUCAGGGAGAAUCGUCACCGUCAGGAUAGGCCGCUGCAAGUGCAGGACUGAUGAUCCGAGUCGAUGGGAAUGUGGACACAGCAGUGAACGCCAGCCUGGAGGGGCGCUGAUGGCCAAAGACCUGAUGCUUCACGUCAUGUCUCCUAAACUUCAGUGCCACUCUGGGGAGAUGAGAGGGAAAGGGGAAGUUCUGAAUUCAUAGUUUACCUGAAACGAUGAAAAGACCCAGAGACCCUGCAGCUUGCUCCCCCUGGACAGAAACUCCCUCCUGCCCCGGACGUCCUGGGCUCCAUCUCUGUGGGCAGCCUCACUGUGCGCACCUUGGCAUCCCAGGUCGCUCCUCAGCACCCACGUCCUCACGGAACAACGAAGGAAUGGCAGUGCAGCAGCAGCUCAGCUGUGUGCCAUCUACUGGGCAGGAUGAGUAGAAACUGCCGAGAGAGCUUUUUCCUUUUCCUUUAAAUUGUACAAUUACAGCAUUUUGGACCUAGAAAAGAAUUUAAUGAUCAUAUAAUUUUAUGUGCCUGCUAAUAUUCAGGGUUUUGAGGCUUUCUGUUUGUUCGUCAAUUUGUUUUACUUUGGUGAUUUUCAGAAGGCUAUUAACAAGGGUAUUUCUGUAAUGGGUUGUUUAGAGAGGAAAAGUCAUUCCCAGCACUGCCAUCUGUUGGGAAGACAAUAAAUGCCACAUAACGAAGUCAGCUCAAAAGCCAGAGGUGCUUCUGUUACUAGCGUUUUAGUAUGUUUCUUUUUUUUUUUCCCCUGCUUUUUCCUCCCCCAAAUCGCCCCAGUACACAGUUGUAUAUUUUUUAGCUGUGGGUCCUUCUAGUUGUGGCAUGUGGGAUGCCACCUCAGCGUGGCCUGAUGAGCAGUGCCAUGUCUGCGCCCAGGAUCUGCACCGGCGAAACCCUGGGAGACCACAGCUAGCAAACAAACUGAACCACUUGGCCACGGGCCAGCCCCAGUAUGUUUCUGAUUCUAACUGGACAGGGUGACACACCUUCUUAAAUAAAUUCUGAUAGUAUUUCAUUUCCUCUGUGGCUAUCAAAAUUAUUGACAAAUUAUCAUAUGACCUAACAUAAAAUUCUAAUUUGGCAUUUCAUUUCUAAUAUGAUGCUGGAGAGUCUGCUUAUGAACUACAAAUUCACGAAAUCAAAUAUAAAAUACCAUAGUCUUAUUUAUUAGCCAUAUAGUAAAUGUUUACUACCUUCUCUUAACUGUAUAAUGUUUCAUCCAAACCAAAGACACAUUCAGCUUAGUCAUCAGAAAAAUUAAAAGAUGGAAGCUCCUCUUGUCAAGAGUGAACAGUAAAAUGACCCAGAAAACACUGAUUUAAUAACAGGACCUGUGCUCAGGUAGGUCUGGCUGGAAGUCAGACACAGAAGGGCUUCUGCUUGUGGGGAGACAGGCCACUUCUCACUUCACACUGCUCAAGGGCACACACUCGAAAAGUAACUGGAAAAUAAGGUGAAUCCGCUCUGGGGAAGAAACUGUGAACUCUAGAUUGUUUUUAAGGCACUCCAUCACUGCUUCAUUUGAAAAGUGAAGUGGGCUUUCUGCAAUUGUAAGAUCAGUGCCACCAUGAAGUGUUGUCAUUCCAGGAGUAGAGUCUCUGUCCUGAAGUCCAGGACUGCUUCAGCUCUUCCUUGGCUGUGUCUGGGGAAACUCACUGCCACUCUGGCCAAGAAAAUUAGCAUAUCUACAUCCCAUUGUGCUUUUCUGUAAAAUGUUGGUCUCCUCAGAAGCUGUUGGAAGAAUUUAUUAGACAAUAAUGUAAAAGGCUUUGCCAUCCUGAUGUACUCAUUGUCCACUAAGUAAUAAUGAUUACAAAUGAGGUAUCGUUCAAAAGAAAGUCAGGGGAAAAAAGAAACUACUUUGUGAUUCAUCAGAGGAUGACUGAGACUCAGAGAGAAAUUUUGACUCAAAUGUUCCAGAGCAUCCAGGGGUUCAGGGGAGAAAGCUCUUCUUUACCUCAUUUCAGAAAGAUAUGUGGAAAAGACAGAAUAUAAAGGAAAUGAUUUUUGCCCUAAAUAAUGAUGCUUUCUACUAAUGUCAGUGCAUAUGCAUGUAUAUAUAAACAUACAUUUUUUUAAAUAAGACUAGAUUAUAAUUAAGAUUUUAUUUUAACCUUUAUUUGGAAAAUCACGUCCAUGUGAUUUUGCUGGUUUUGAC
Molecule: long non-coding RNA, 2688 nt
Filed under: Equus caballus (horse)
Lineage: Eukaryota; Metazoa; Chordata; Mammalia; Perissodactyla; Equidae
Description: lncRNA (ENSECAG00000043213.2)
Source: RNAcentral